GAGUUUGAUCGUGGCUCAGGAUGAACGCUAGCGGCAGGCUUAACACAUGCAAGUCGAGGGGUAUAGUUUUUCGGAACUAGAGACCGGCGCACGGGUGCGUAACGCGUAUGCAACCUACCUUUUACAGGGGGAUAGCCCAGAGAAAUUUGGAUUAAUACCCCAUGGUAUAAUGAGUUGGCAUCAACACAUUAUUAAAGUCACAACGGUAAAAGAUGGGCAUGCGUCCCAUUAGCUUGUUGGUAAGGUAACGGCUUACCAAGGCUACGAUGGGUAGGGGUCCUGAGAGGGAGAUCCCCCACACUGGUACUGAGACACGGACCAGACUCCUACGGGAGGCAGCAGUGAGGAAUAUUGGUCAAUGGGCGCAAGCCUGAACCAGCCAUGCCGCGUGCAGGAUGACGGUCCUAUGGAUUGUAAACUGCUUUUGUACGAGAAGAAACACUCCGACGUGUCGGAACUUGACGGUAUCGUAAGAAUAAGGAUCGGCUAACUCCGUGCCAG
This 501-nucleotide ribosomal RNA is filed under the name uncultured Flavobacterium sp. RNAcentral's name for it is "bacterial SSU rRNA". It matches the Rfam family "Bacterial small subunit ribosomal RNA", at positions 9 to 511 of the family's 1533-position model. The record is from RNAcentral. Lineage: Bacteria; Pseudomonadati; Bacteroidota; Flavobacteriia; Flavobacteriales; Flavobacteriaceae.